CUCAGCUGCUUGCCCCAGAGGGGGUGGGGCCGGACAGGAACAAGAUGGCUGCCUGCCUCUGAGCAAGCAACAGGAGCCUUACACCAGAAAAAAAUUUGCUGACUCCUGAUGUAAAUAAUGUUGAUGCAUGUAUUUCUUUAUUGGAAAAUAAACAUGAUGGUUUAACACAAGGAAUUUGAAGCUGGACUGUCUGAGUUUAAAUCCCAGUCAAUUACUGAAUAUUUUUGUCAUCUAAGUUUUAUCUAUAACAGGGCAAAUCUAUUUCAAAGGUACACCACUGUCCAAGGGUCUUUUGAAGCUAUUUC
Molecule: long non-coding RNA, 305 nt
Organism: Carlito syrichta (Philippine tarsier)
Lineage: Eukaryota; Metazoa; Chordata; Mammalia; Primates; Tarsiidae
Exons: 3
Source: RefSeq, a predicted model, not a curated record